This 329-nucleotide unclassified non-coding RNA is filed under the name soil metagenome. RNAcentral's name for it is "partial contains 5.8S ribosomal RNA, internal transcribed spacer 2, and large subunit ribosomal RNA". The stretch from base 1 to 120 matches the Rfam family "5.8S ribosomal RNA", at positions 35 to 154 of the family's 154-position model. The record is from RNAcentral.
GAUGAAGAACGUAGCGAAAUGCGAUAAGUAGUGUGAAUUGCAGAAUUCAGUGAAUCAUCGAAUCUUUGAACGCACAUUGCGCCCCUUGGUAUCCCGAGGGGCAUGCCUGUUCGAGCGUCAUUUCACCACUCAAGCCUGGCUUGGUGUUGGGCGACGUCCUCUUUGGGGACGCGCCUCGAAACGCUCGGCGGCGUGGCACCGGCUUUAAGCGUAGCAGAAUCUUUCGCUUUGGAAGUCGGGGCCCCGUCUGCCGGAAGACCUGCUCGCAAGGUUGACCUCGGAUCAGGCAGGGAUACCCGCUGAACUUGAGCAUAUCAAUAAGCGGAGGA